UACGUAGGGGGCUAGCGUUGUCCGGAAUCAUUGGGCGUAAAGCGCGUGUAGGCGGUCCGGUAAGUCCGCUGUGAAAGUCGGGGGCUCAACCCUCGAAUGCCGGUGGAUACUGUCGGGCUAGAGUGCGGAAGAGGCGAGUGGAAUUCCAGGUGUAGCGGUGAAAUGCGUAGAUAUCUGGAGGAACACCGGUGGCGAAGGCGGCAUCCUGGACCGGUAUUGACGCUGAGGCGCGAAAGCCAGGGGAGCAAACGGG
RNAcentral lists this ribosomal RNA (253 nucleotides) under uncultured bacterium. RNAcentral's name for it is "partial 16S ribosomal RNA". It matches the Rfam family "Bacterial small subunit ribosomal RNA", at positions 524 to 776 of the family's 1533-position model. The record is from RNAcentral.